RNAcentral lists this ribosomal RNA (116 nucleotides) under Desulfurellaceae bacterium. The record is from RNAcentral. Lineage: Bacteria; Pseudomonadati; Campylobacterota; Desulfurellia; Desulfurellales; Desulfurellaceae.
CCGGGUCUCAAUGGCGGAGGGGCCACACCCGUUCCCAUACCGAACACGGCCGUUAAGCCCUCCAGCGCCGAUGGUACUGCCUCUUCUGGGGGUGGGAGAGUAGGACGAGGCCGGGG